GCGUUGGAGUCCAGUCCACACUGUAUGUGAUGCUAUUAUGUUUUUCUCUUGUUGCAUUUAUCAUUGAUAUCUACAGUUGUGUAAAUCUGAUUUUGCUUAUUAACUAUAGGGUGGAAUAUUUUCUUUGCUUAUAAUUGUUUGUUCUCUUUGUUUGUAUUUGUUGAGAAUGCUAAAAGCUGCACAGUUAUAGCAUCAUGGAAUUCAUGAAAUUUGAUUUUGUUUUCCACUCGUUUCUAACAUCUAACCAUUGGAAGGCUGCAAUUAUUUGGAAAAGCCAUCUUGCAAUUCUGAAUUACUUCUUCUUUCGUUCAUGAGGAUGAGUGCCAGAAGAGAUAUGCAUAUGGUAACUCUUUGCCUUAAUGCAUGUUUUUAAUCAACUUUCUGGCAUGAUCAUCUGAUGGCCAUUCUGAUUGGCAGUGCAUCUUGUUGAUGGGCAAUUGUAAGGACAGAAAACUUGAAAUCACUGCAGGACUGAAUUGCAUAUCAACUCUUAGGGGUUUAACUGUAGCCCAGAUUGAGGUGCAUUUUCCUGAGCCCCGGCAUAACUCUAGUUUACAAGAGAUCACAUGGGUUGGGGUUACUAAAUAUUGUGUACCCAUCUCGUGCAUGGGAAACUGAAGCAGCCAAUUUAUUAAGGAAAUGAAAAAUGGUGGUGACUUUGAUCUCGUAAAUGACAAAAUGAAGGUGAAUUUUUUGACUUGAUCAUCUUUAUGUCUUCGACCAAAGGGAGAAGCUAAUGAAAGUCAGAAAAUCGGGAAAGUACUUUGUCAAGCAGCAUGGGUGGAGAGUCAUAUAUUUCUGUUGUGCCAGACAUGUUGAUUGUGUGGAUCUUCCUGUGCUAUUACGUGAUUUCACCACUAAACUAGAAAACUCACUACAAAGGAAGGUCCCAACAAGUAGUAAUUUUAUGAAGUAGUGAUAUAUA
RNAcentral lists this unclassified non-coding RNA (925 nucleotides) under Hevea brasiliensis (rubber tree). Lineage: Eukaryota; Viridiplantae; Streptophyta; Magnoliopsida; Malpighiales; Euphorbiaceae. The record is from RNAcentral.